RNAcentral lists this ribosomal RNA (484 nucleotides) under uncultured bacterium. RNAcentral describes it as "bacterial SSU rRNA". It matches the Rfam family "Bacterial small subunit ribosomal RNA", at positions 29 to 532 of the family's 1533-position model. The record is from RNAcentral.
AACGAACGCUGGCGGCGUGCCUAAUACAUGCAAGUCGAGCGCGGGAAGCUAUCAGAAGCCUUCGGGUGGACGAAAGUGGAACGAGCGGCGGACGGGUGAGUAACACGUGGGGAACCUGCCCAUCAGACGGGAAUAACCCCGGGAAACCGGAGCUAAUACCCGAUAAGGCUUCAUUCGCAUGGAUGAAGGAUGGACCCGCGUCUGAUUAGCUAGUUGGUAAGGUAACGGCUUACCAAGGCGACGAUCAGUAGCCGACCUGAGAGGGUGAUCGGCCACAUUGGAACUGAGACACGGUCCAGACUCCUACGGGAGGCAGCAGUGGGGAAUAUUGGGCAAUGGGCGCAAGCCUGACCCAGCAACGCCGCGUGAAGGAAGAAGGCUUUCGGGUUGUAAACUUCUUUUAUAAGGGACGAACACAAUGACGGUACCUUAUGAAUAAGCCACGGCUAACUACGUGCCAGCAGCCGCGGUAAAGUCGCGAUAU